GAAGGUAUAGCUCAAGCAGUUGAGUGUAUGCUUAGCAUGCAUGAGGUCCUGGGUUCAAUCCCCAGUGCCUCCU
RNAcentral lists this transfer RNA (73 nucleotides) under Camelus bactrianus (Bactrian camel). It matches the Rfam family "tRNA". From Rfam's summary of the family: Transfer RNA (tRNA) molecules are approximately 80 nucleotides in length. Their secondary structure includes four short double-helical elements and three loops (D, anti-codon, and T loops). RNAcentral also lists the same sequence under 3 other names. Lineage: Eukaryota; Metazoa; Chordata; Mammalia; Artiodactyla; Camelidae. The record is from Rfam by way of RNAcentral.